CCUUGUCGUAAGAGAAGAUACCCAGGUGAGAGAAGAACGUCUCCAGCACCGCCUGUUCCACCGGGACCGGGGCUGCCAGCGGGAUAGACUCCCCCAUGCGAGCUGCGCUCCAGCUCCACCCACGUGGCUCGCCUCUCCCUCGCACUUCCGGGUUCUCAGGGAACGGGCGCACGAGCGUGCGUGCGCGUGACCGCCGCAAGCGGCGGGCUCGUGAGCGCGCGGCCGCCUGGACCGCGCCUGGGCCUUAGAGAGGGCGCGGUUAAGGGUCAAGGCGGGAGAGGGAUGGCGGCUCCUUAGCUCCUGAGUGACUCCGGCGCAUCGGUUCCCGCAGCUCUGACUAUUCGGACCCUCAGGGCAGAGCGCGAGGCGGCCAGCUCGCUGCUCCGUGGAGCUGACGGCGUUCUGAGGUGAAAAAGGAGGCAGCAAUGGUAUCUUUUUGGGAGAACCAGGGAGGCUUCCUGGAAGAGAACGUGGCUGUCCUUAGUGGAUGAGUAGAUGGCUUCCCUGGUGGCGCAGUAGUUAAGAAUCCACCUGCCAAUGCAGGGGACACGGGUUCAAGCCCUGGUCCCAGAAGGUCCCACGUGCCACGGAGCAACUAAAGCCAUGCACCACAGCUACUGAGCCUGUGCUCUAGAACCCACGAGCCACAACUACUGAGCCUGCAUGCCACAACUACUGAAGCCCGCAUGCCUAGAGCCCGUGCUCCACAACAAGAGAAGCCACCGCAAUGAGAAGCCCGCGCACUGCAAUGAAGAGUAGCCCCCACCCGCCGCAACUAGAGAAAGCCCGCGCGCAGCAAGGAAGACCCAACCCAGCCAUAAAUAAAUAAAUGAAUAAAUAAAUUUAUUUUUAAAAAUCUAUCUAAACUUAGGUCACCCCAACAAAUUUGAUGUUUUCUCAUCUAUUGUUUUAUAUGUUAAUUUUUUAGUUGGUAACAUUUUAUGAAUAAUCUUGCAUGAUGCCACUAAGUAUUUUUCUGUACCACAAUUUUUAACAGCUACCUGGGAUUCAUAUGGCACGUUACACUUAGUCUUGCAUUCUUGAAUAUUUUGGUGUGUCCUGGUUUUCACUGUGGCAAACCCUAAAACUUGGCAGACCAACACUCAUUGCCAACUUCCCUCUCAC
Long non-coding RNA from Mesoplodon densirostris (Blainville's beaked whale), 1125 nucleotides. RefSeq lists it as uncharacterized. The record is from RefSeq and is a predicted model, not a curated record. The transcript is spliced from 3 exons. NCBI's taxonomy places the organism in Eukaryota, Metazoa, Chordata, Mammalia, Artiodactyla, Ziphiidae.